This 3944-nucleotide long non-coding RNA is filed under the name Drosophila guanche. The record is from RNAcentral. Lineage: Eukaryota; Metazoa; Arthropoda; Insecta; Diptera; Drosophilidae.
AUAGAAUCUCAUAAAUUAUUUUUGUGUGUAUAUAUAUAUAUAUCGAUUUUUUUGUUCGUUUGUAAUACAUUUUUUCUGUUCUGCCGCAUAAUCAUAUUCAAUAAUUCAAUUGCAAUAUUAAUAAUUGUUUUGUUGUUUUGGGAAUUUUUUUUAUUAAUUUGGUUGUGGGUGUCGGUUGUGGGUUACUCUCUUGUUCGACUUUGAUUGCAGUAAGACCUUUUGCUUGUUUAGUUUCAUUUAGUUUGAAAUAUUUGUAUGUAUAUAUGCUCCAAGUCUGUACAAAUUUGUAGACUUCUCUGCAUGCUCCAGAUGUUGGUAUAAUUUAUAACCACACCACCAGCGUGCACACUUACUACAUACACAUAUAUAGGUAUACAAUAUUUCAUGGUAGUUCUGUAUUUAUACCCGGUUUUUGUUGUAUUUAGUUACGAUACUAUGCUACUUGGCAUCACCAUCACCCGCAUCCUUAUUGGCAUUCGCAUUUGCCGCUGCCGCUUCCAUUUACAUUAUACAUUUAUAACCAUAAUAAUUUACAAGUUAAAUGGCUUAGAAAUUAAUAGUAGGAUCCCCUGUGUGGGCUACCAUACAUAAUACAUAAAACUCUUUCUAAUUAAAGUUAAAAACAUUUCCCGCUUCAUCGUUAUAUCGUUCUAUCGUUCUAUCGUUUUGUUUGUUUAUAUGUUUGCCUGUUUGCCUGUCUCCGUCGCGUGUUUGAUCUAGUUUGUUCUGUCUUUACGGUUCGGAUCUGUCGGGUUUGGGGUUUGUUCUGUUCCGUUCGGUUGGGCUCUGUUCUGUGUAUGGAUUUUUGUCUAUUUACAGUGUGGAAAUAUCUAAUUUAUUUAUAUUUCGUAACUUAUUACUUCGCUCUGUGUUUGUAUUGCAGACGAACGUUUUGCAGACUUGUCUUGACUUACAGUUUAGUUUCUGGAAAAAGACGAAAAUAAAAUCUCUCUCCAGGGUUUUCCUUCCUUUCAUUUUGUUUUGUUUUGCUAACGUUAUAAUAAUGUUUAAACGUACAUUUUUAAAUAGCUCUAAUUAAAAUAGAAUUCAAUUUUAUUAAUUUGUUAUAAUUGUUUUCUGUUUUUCUUUGCUGGUUUUUGGUGCAUUUAAAAAUAGUGCAAAAAUACAUUUUCGAAAACUUUUUGGUGCAUACUUUGAGGCGGUGCAUUCAAAUCACAACAUUUACAUUUUAAGUGCAUUUACGUGUGUGUUGGUGUGAAUGUGGUGUUUCUUUUGGCUCUUGGCGUGGAUGUGUUCUUUAAGUAUACAUGUGCAUACAUGUCAUGUAUGUGUGUGUGUGUAUGUGUGGAUAGAAGUAGUUGGUGGUAGUUGCUAUAUGCGUUCUGUUUUCGCUUUAGUUGAGGAUUCCGCUCCAAAGCUUCAGUUUAGGACGGAUUGCUUUUAAGCUUUGAUUGUGUGCAUGUUAGGGGAAUGCAGUAUGCACAGCUGCAUACAACAUCUCGAUUUGCGUUUUAGGUACUGGUGACUACUUAUGCUUAUAGCUCGAAAAUACUCUUUUGAUUCCUGUGAGUGUUGGCUCAUCCAGGUGGGGUUCCCUGUGCAUCCAUGGCGUGUGGAGCAGUUGCUCUUUGCCUCUUCGAUGGCUGUGUCUGUGUUGUGUGUUGUGGGUUUGGGUGUGGGUGUGGUGUCUGUGUUUCUGUGGAAGACUAGUCGCCACAGUUCCCAUGAAGCAUCUUCUUCUGAGUACAGCAGAGGCCCCUUGCCUUCUCCUUUUCUGCUGAUUUGUGCAAUUACUACAUCGAAUCUCUAUUUAAUUAGUCUCUAAUACGAAUUCCGGUUUCGCUUUCAAUUUCGUUUCCUUUUUGAUUUUUGGUUUUUGUUUUGUGGUAAGUGCAACAGCGGUGCAUUAGUACAUGUAAAUACAUAGAAAAAGUUACAUUUUGGAUUUUGUGCUAAUUAUUUAUCACAUAAAAAGUGCAGCAGUGCAAAACUAUUUACGAUAAUUGUUUGACAUCAUUUCCAUUGUUAAUAAUUGAUAUUGAACACAAAUGAUUAAUAUGUGCCGUGUCCGAGUGUUUCGAGUGUGGUUUCUGGGUAGGUGUUGGUGUCGGGUGUUGUGUUUUUGCUUGUGGCUAUGUGUGGGCGCGUAAAUGAUUAUCCUAAAUAUAUGAUGGAAUCAGUUUCAAUUAAUAUUCAACAUGUUGAAGGGUGUAGUUAUUGCCAGGGGAGAACAUAAAAUAAUUGCAUUUGCCCCAGAGCAAACGAACAAUUAUGAAUUGCUGAAGCUCCAACGAAAAGAGCCCUGCCUCCCAAUUAAGUGUGGCCUGAAGCAAAACCAAGAACAAUGAGGUGUCGCCGCAUCUGGUUAAUUUUCCAAAUGAUAAACACUAAGGCUCUUCAAUCUCUUCAAACAAUUUAUAAUGAGCACUUUGCAUGCAAAACCCCAUAGCCUACUUGGGGGUCGGUUUCGAGUUUAUCUACUUAUUACCGUGCUGGAAACUACUCGUAAUCGUAUUUGCCCUUCACUGGUCGGUGUCCUCAUGCAAUGGUUGCGUUUGGCCGUUUGGCCAGUUUGCAAAAGGAGAAAUCGGAUGACAGCAAGAAAAAAGAGUGUGAGAGGGAUAAAAGUGGGAUUGAAUGGGAUCAGUGGCUCUGGUUGUGUCUGCGUUGAGUGCGGCUUUUGGUGGCAUACACCCGUAGUCGAACAAAGCCGCAUGAAAGCUGUGUAACACAACACCUGAUGCCCAUUGAAGGCCACUUUUUGACCGGUGCAAAGUCUCUGCAGGAAUUGUUAUGUCUAGCUAUAUUGACGGAGUUUUGCAUGCAGCCUCCAAUGCUUCCAUAAAUUGUUUCGCAAACUUUUCAACAUUUCUCCAGGCUUUCAUUUCUUAGUCGCUACUAAAUGUGAGUAAAUGGAUAUUAAUACUUGAAUAGUUUAUACUUUAUACUUAUAUGUGCGGCUACUUCCUUUAUGUAUUUACUCGUUUGCUUAUCUACUAAACAUCCAGAAAACAUUUAUACUUUAUGCUUGAUUGGGUAAAUAUUUGCUACAUACAUAUUUAUGUGUAUAUGUAUGGACUUCGUGUACGGAUUUCAUCUUCAUUUUAAUCAAAAUCCAAGUUCGUUCUGCUCACAAAACUCUUUUUGGAAUUGAAUCAAGCGAUCCGCUCAUUCAAUCGCUCCCAAACCCGACUGCUGGAUAAUACUUAUGUAAUCGUUUUUGAGAGUACAAUACUAUAUAUUUGCGAUACUUUUUGGCUACGCUCGUACUUUGGAUAUUUAAUUUAAUUUAAUACUUAAAUUAUGCUGUUUUUUCCGCCGAGACAUUGUUGAAAAGUUUGCUUUCCUGCCAAGUGAAGUGCCUUACAUUUAUUUGUUGGCCAUACCUACAUUAUUCCUUUACCAUAAGACACACAAUAUGAGGAUUCAUUGGUGCUUAUUAAACUUAAGUCUUAAACUUUCAGGCUUCAACUGUUAAACUUCCACUGAGUGCUGAGCUGCCUCGGAGAAUGGCAAGCGCUUGCAGAAGGCUCUUUAGUUGCCAAGGCAACCGACAGAGUUAUAAACCGAAUGGAUUUUCAUAAGAAAAGUGCAUUUGUGAGCACUAAAGAGCUCCCCAUUUUCUUUCAUUGUCAUUCACCUUUUUUCGCAUGAAUUGCACCAAACAAAUAUGUACAAAUAUGUAUAUGUUUGGUGUACAUUGGUGUAUGUAUUUAUUGGGCAUGCUUGGGGUUUAUCAACUUACUGUGACUGUGUGUGGUCUAUUCUUGUAGGUGUUGUUGUUGUUGUAGUUAUUGUUGUGGAGAGGAAAACGGAACAUAUUCUACUGAAAUAUUGAUCAAAAAUUGUAUGUAAAGAAAUCAGAAAUGCAUAUUUGGGUUUUGUUUUCAGUGUAUAUUAGGUUGUGUAUUUGUUUUUCAUCUUUUCUUUGUUUUUUUUUUUUUGUUUUGUUGUGUUUUUGUUGUUGUAUUUUUUGGUUUUUG